GUUUUACCUUGACGAAUUGUAGUUUAAAGAAGUGUUUUCUGUUGGUGUUUUGGUAAAAGUUCUUUGGAAUAGGACAUCAUAGAGGGUGAGAAUCCCGUAUUUGACCAUUACUUCCAGCGUUGUGAUACACUUUCAAAGAGUCGGAUUGUUUGGGAAUGCAGUCCAAAAUGGGUGGUAAAUUUCAUCUAAAGCUAAAUAUUGGCGAGAGACCGAUAGCGAACAAGUACCGUGAGGGAAAGACGAAAAGAACUUUGAAAAGAGAGUUAAACAGUACGUGAAAUUGUCAAAAGGGAAGCGUUUGACACCAGUGUUGUUUUCUCGAAAAUCAAUUAAAAAGUGUUGGAUUUUGUAUUGUUAAGACCUUAUCAGCUUACUGUACUCUUUUCCUGCUCUUUUU
Molecule: ribosomal RNA, 397 nt
Filed under: uncultured Neocallimastigomycetes
Lineage: Eukaryota; Fungi; Neocallimastigomycota; Neocallimastigomycetes
Description: eukaryotic LSU rRNA
Rfam family: Eukaryotic large subunit ribosomal RNA
Source: RNAcentral